This 117-nucleotide non-coding RNA is filed under the name Gorilla gorilla gorilla (western lowland gorilla). The record is from Rfam by way of RNAcentral. Lineage: Eukaryota; Metazoa; Chordata; Mammalia; Primates; Hominidae.
GCCGGGCGCCAUGGCUGACGCCUGUAAUCCCAGCACUCUGGGAGGCUGAGGCAGGUGGAUCACCUGAGGUCAGGAGUUUGAGACCAGCCUGGCCAACAUGGUGAAACCCCGUCUCUA